RNAcentral lists this long non-coding RNA (1294 nucleotides) under Cicer arietinum (chickpea). RNAcentral describes it as "long non-coding RNA (CARI_LNC002760)". Lineage: Eukaryota; Viridiplantae; Streptophyta; Magnoliopsida; Fabales; Fabaceae. The record is from RNAcentral.
ACGCAGACUGUAAACUGUGCACCAGGUAAGUUCCCAGGAAAGAGAGGUGGGUCACAACAGACACGCUUAAAUACCAAGUCUUUCCUUAGCCAGAACCUCCCUAAACAACACUUUCACAAAAUCACCUUUCCCCUAACAAUACCAAGGAUAAUUCUUUUCUGAUGUGGAAGAUCAGACAAAGCUGCAACCACAGAGCAUACUAAGAAAAAUUAUCCUACCGAACCUUGGCUCUUGAUACCAGUUGUUGGAAAAAAUAGCAUAAGUUAAAAAAUUAAGACACAAUCACAACACAAGAAUAUAACGUGGAAACUCCAAAACCGGAGAAAAAACCACGGCCGCUGCCUAAACCGGCAACCAGAGAAUUAAUACUAUGUGAAAAUUGUUACAACACAUAGACUUCUCUCACUCACACCCCAGACACCCCAGUACAACCACACUCUUACAAAGCAAAUAUUUAAACUAAGUCAGAUACAAGCUUAAAGUGCUAUUGCUGACUGGUGCAUUUGAAAACAAAGGACCAAAACCCAAUAUAUAGCCUUGGCCUUCUCCUUAUUCUCCCACACUAAAGGAUGUGGGACUUGCAAUCAACCCAACAAUUUCUACUAAACAACUUCCCCAAUUAUCAAAGUAGUACAAAGGAUUAAGGAGAUUUCAUGUCAUGCAUGAAAAAGACACAUAAAUUAACUUUGUUGAGUGCAUGAUUGAUGUAUUAAUUCACUUUUAUGAAAGACAAAAAUCAUUCUAAUCACAUAAAAUUAUUUUUAAUGUUUAGGUGUUUCGAAAUCAAUUGUUUGUGUAGCGAUUGAUUUUAACUUACAACUAGCAAAAUAAUCGAGUCAUGCAAGGUUGGUGUUGUGUAAAUUAAAUGUUUAAGUAUAUACAAUCUAAUACAAGUAGCAUAAAUUAAGAUUGUUCUCACGAGGGUUGAUCAUGUCAUUAAUUUCAAUAUUUUUCUAAUACAUUCAAAUUGUUUGUUAUAAAACUAAAAUGAUUACAUUUUUGGAAUAACAAGUUAAAGUAAAACUUAAUCUAAACAAUGCAUAUUUGAGCAAGCAACCAAAUAUAUAAACAUCGGACUAUGCAAACAAGUUAAGGAUAUUAUCCAUAUUGAACUUAGUUUGUGAUUCUAAAAUGUUGUAGCAUGAUUGUAGCUUUAUGAACAGAGUGAUCUUAGAGAUUUUCUAACUUAGUCAUUAUGGUUUUAAAAUGCAUUAAUAACAUUUCUAAGUUCAUGCUCAAGUCCAACUAUGCUACCAUUUUCAAUACCUCUUUGGUAGGGAUGACAAGAUGCGGG